ACUGGAAUAGUGAUGAAAUCACCUUUUGCCGUUUACCCGUCAGACUUUAGACUGGUGAGAUGGUGACGACUGAAUUUCCAGC
This 82-nucleotide small nucleolar RNA is filed under the name Gambusia affinis (western mosquitofish). Its description in RNAcentral is "Small nucleolar RNA SNORD87 (ENSGAFG00000006298.1)". The record is from RNAcentral. Lineage: Eukaryota; Metazoa; Chordata; Actinopteri; Cyprinodontiformes; Poeciliidae.